This 522-nucleotide ribosomal RNA is filed under the name uncultured bacterium. RNAcentral describes it as "bacterial SSU rRNA". It matches the Rfam family "Bacterial small subunit ribosomal RNA", at positions 126 to 643 of the family's 1533-position model. The record is from RNAcentral.
CUGCCUGGUAGUGGGGGAUAACGUUCGGAAACGGACGCUAAUACCGCAUACGUCCUACGGGAGAAAGCAGGGGACCUUCGGGCCUUGCGCUAUCAGAUGAGCCUAGGUCGGAUUAGCUAGUUGGUGGGGUAAUGGCUCACCAAGGCGACGAUCCGUAACUGGUCUGAGAGGAUGAUCAGUCACACUGGAACUGAGACACGGUCCAGACUCCUACGGGAGGCAGCAGUGGGGAAUAUUGGACAAUGGGCGAAAGCCUGAUCCAGCCAUGCCGCGUGUGUGAAGAAGGUCUUCGGAUUGUAAAGCACUUUAAGUUGGGAGGAAGGGUUGUAGAUUAAUACUCUGCAAUUUUGACGUUACCGACAGAAUAAGCACCGGCUAACUCUGUGCCAGCAGCCGCGGUAAUACAGAGGGUGCAAGCGUUAAUCGGAAUUACUGGGCGUAAAGCGCGCGUAGGUGGUUUGUUAAGUUGGAUGUGAAAUCCCCGGGCUCAACCUGGGAACUGCAUUCAAAACUGACUGACUA